RNAcentral lists this ribosomal RNA (462 nucleotides) under uncultured bacterium. RNAcentral describes it as "partial 16S ribosomal RNA". It matches the Rfam family "Bacterial small subunit ribosomal RNA", at positions 28 to 507 of the family's 1533-position model. The record is from RNAcentral.
GACGAACGCUGGCGGCGUGCUUAACACAUGCCAGUCGAGCGGAAAGGCCCUUCGGGGUACUCGAGCGGCGAACGGGUGAGUAACACGUGAGUAACCUGCCCCAGACUUUGGGAUAACCCUCGGAAACGGGGGCUAAUACCGGAUACGACACAGCUUCGCAUGGGGUCUGUGUGGAAAGUUUUUCGGUUUGGGAUGGGCUCGCGGCCUAUCAGCUUGUUGGUGGGGUGAUGGCCUACCAAGGCGACGACGGGUAGCCGGCCUGAGAGGGCGACCGGCCACACUGGGACUGAGACACGGCCCAGACUCCUACGGGGGGCAGCAGUGGGGAAUAUUGCACAAUGGGCGGAAGCCUGAUGCAGCGACGCCGCGUGAGGGAUGACGGCCUUCGGGUUGUAAACCUCUUUCAGCAGGGACGAAGCGUAAGUGACGGUACCUGCAGAAGAAGCGCCGGCCAACUACGUG